AUGGACUCGCGUCCCAAUUAGCUAGUUGGUGAGGUAACGGCCCACCAAGGCAACGAUUGGUAGCCGGACUGAGAGGUUGAACGGCCACAUUGGGACUGAGACACGGCCCAGACUCCUACGGGAGGCAGCAGUGGGGGAUAUUGCACAAUGGGGGAAACCCUGAUGCAGCGACGCCGCGUGGAGGAAGAAGGUUUUCGGAUUGUAAACUCCUGUCGUUAGGGACGAUAAUGACGGUACCUAACAAGAAAGCACCGGCUAACUACGUGCCAGCAGCCGCGGUAAAACGUAGGGUGCAAGCGUUGUCCGGAAUUACUGGGUGUAAAGGGAGCGCAGGCGGACCGGCAAGUUGGAAGUGAAAACUAUGGGCUCAACCCAUAAAUUGCUUUCAAAACUGCUGGCCUUGAGUAGUGCAGAGGUAGGUGGAAUUCCCGGUGUAGCGGUGGAAUGCGUAGAUAUCGGGAGGAACACCAGUGGCGAAGGCGACCUACUGGGCACCAACUGACGCUGAGGCUCGAAAGCAUGGGUAGCAAACAGGAUUAGAUACCCUGGUAGUCCAUGCCGUAAACGAUGAUUACUAGGUGUUGGAGGAUUGACCCCUUCAGUGCCGCAGUUAACACAAUAAGUAAUCCACCUGGGGAGUACGACCGCAAGGUUGAAACUCAAAGGAAUUGACG
Molecule: ribosomal RNA, 674 nt
Filed under: uncultured bacterium
Lineage: Bacteria
Description: bacterial SSU rRNA
Rfam family: Bacterial small subunit ribosomal RNA
Source: RNAcentral